RNAcentral lists this ribosomal RNA (558 nucleotides) under Triticum aestivum (bread wheat). RNAcentral describes it as "partial small subunit ribosomal RNA". Lineage: Eukaryota; Viridiplantae; Streptophyta; Magnoliopsida; Poales; Poaceae. The record is from RNAcentral.
AUGAAUAGUAACAGGGCCCCUGGUCCUGACAACAUUCCAGCGGAGUUCUACCAACACUGUUGGGAGAUUGUGAAAAGUGAUAUUAUGAAACUAUUUGAUGCUAUGUAUGAAGGAACAGUUGAUGUUCAAAGACUAAACUAUGGGGUCAUUACUCUUAUUCCUAAAGUCAAUGGUGCGAACAAAAUACAACAAUUUAGGCCUAUAUGUCUACUUAGAUGCCCAUAUAAGUUGAUCACAAAGGUGCUAGAUAACAGAGCUGCCCCUUAUGCUGAUAUCCUCUUUAGCAAGCACCAAAAUGCCUUCAUUAAGCAUAGAAGUAUCAUGGAUGGGGUGCUGACUUUACAUGAGGUCUUGCAUCAUACUCAUAUUAAGAAGAAAUUUGGCAUCAUUAUCAAACUUGAUUUUGAAAAAGCCUACGAUAAGGUUAACUGGGAUUUCUUACUUAAGUGCCUUGAGAUCAGAGGCUUUGGCAAAACUUGGUGUAGUUGGAUGGAGAAAAUUCUCCACAAUGGCACGGUUAGUGUGAAGUUAAAUAAUACCACGGGACCUUACUUCUAG